Molecule: long non-coding RNA, 13761 nt
Organism: Hippopotamus amphibius kiboko
Lineage: Eukaryota; Metazoa; Chordata; Mammalia; Artiodactyla; Hippopotamidae
Exons: 3
Source: RefSeq, a predicted model, not a curated record
AGGAAAUAUUAUGGGUUCUUUUACUCUUUCCUGUCCUUUUUCCUUCCAUGAUCAGAUGAGAUGCCUUUUUUCAACGGCAGAGAGUCUGUCUCGUCAGUGUUACCUCUCCUUCAGAUUUCAGGCUUUAGAGGGGAAGGAUGUCUAUAUUCUUUAUUUCUGAAAUGUUUCCUAAACAGGUGCUCACGGGCAUGGUAACGGAUCAACACCUGUUGAAUUAGGACAGAGUCAUCAUUUCCCCAACUGGAUAUGGCCCCUGGAAGGCUGGCACAUGAAAUCAGAGGGGGCUUUGGUCUAAUACAUUCACUGAAUUCUUCCAAAAGACUUCCCUUCACUUGGUUAGGAGAAAUUUCCCCUAAAUUCCCUUGGCUUCAUUCAUUACUUUAUCUUUUCUUUUGCAACAGGGGGCACAGAGUAGAAAGAAUGAAAUACAAAUAAACAUACGCUUUUAUUCCAAAUCAGCCAAGUCUUAGCCUGUUCCUGGCAUCCAGGUGGAUCUGGCUGGCACCAGCAGAGGCCUUGUGUCACCCAGAAGAGACUAUCAAAACCCAACUAGAGGCUGUUUUGUUCUUUUUUCUUUCUUUUGGUAAAUGUUUGUAACUGGGAAGUCAAGCAAAUUCUCACAUCAAAAUUCACAGAAUGUAAGACCCUGAGAGCUUAAAGGAUGUCAGCAACGACCAAUUCCAUCUCCCUGGGUUACAGAUAAGGAACUGGGAGGAGAGGGUUAUAAUUUAAUCAGCAUACCCCCAGAAGUUAUUUCAACAUGGGCAGAAUCAACCUGCACGUACCUUUCGGGUACUGGAGUAGCACCAUGACAAGAGAUGGAGAAGCAUAAGGAAAGUAGGUCUUGAAUGUAAACUUCGGCUACAAUGGAAUCAAAAAUUCAAAACCAUUUGAGCAUUAGCAUUGGAAAGGGUAUUAAGAAAAUACAAAAUCUCUCAUCCUCUGCCCCAAAAAGACCCUCUAAGUACAUACGUGGUCAGAAUGUUUUCUUACACACCUAUCAACUUCUGGGACUUAAGAAAAAUAAAGUUAUGUUCCUGAUGUCUUUAUAUCAGUUCUUUACCUCACAUGAACCCAAUUAUAUACAUAAAUCUUCUAUUUAAGUGAGAGUUUCCAACACAGUUGUGAGAUGGCUUUUUAACAAUCAAAGUAUAAAACAACAAGGGUGCUCACAAUACUUUGAGGACCAAAGUGCUAUACUAUCUACGCCCUCAGAAGACACAGAAGUUUUGAAGUACUUUUGUAAAAAGUUGAGGUAAAAUCUAUAAGCAGUGAAGUGCAAGGGCUUUAAGUGUACAAUUUGAUGACUUUUGGCAAACGUGUAAAUCCAAUGUGACCAUCAUUCCAGUGAAGACAUAAAACAUUUCAAUCACCCCAGAAAGUUUCCUUGUGGCUGUUAUAGUCAACCCCUGCAUCCCACUCUGUCAACCAAUAUUUUUAUUUUGACAAGAGAGAUUAGUUUUGUAUAUUCUUGAAUUUUUCACAUAAAUAGAAUCCUAAGAGUAUGUAUUUUUGUGUGUGUCUGGCUUCUGGCUCAGUAUGUUCCUUUGAGACUCAUCCAUGUUACUGGGUAUAAGUAGUUCAUUUAUUGAAAAACUGCUCUGAAGUAGCCACUCUAUGAAUGUACCAUAAUCUGUUUAUUGAUUUUCCCAUUGAUAGGCAUUUGGGUUGUUUCCAGUUUGGAGCUAUUGUGGAUACGUCCUGUCAUUUCUCUUGGGUAAACACCACUGGAAUGGAAUUAGCAGGUCCUAGAGUAGAUAUUUGUUUAACUUUAAUAAGAAACUGCCAUGUAAUUUUUCAAAGUGGUUGUACCACUUCACACUCCCAUCAGCAAUUUAUGAGAAUUUUGGUUACUCCAUAUACUUGUGAAAGUUUGGUAUUGUCAAUCUUAUUAAUUUUAGCAGUAUCAGUGAGUGUGAAAUGUUGCCUUAUUAUCACUUUACUAUUCAUUUUCCUCAUGUGUUUACUGCCGACUUAUGCAUAUUUUUUGAAGUGUGUAUUCUUUUGUCCAUUUUUAAAAGCGAGUUGUUUCUUAUGUUCUUGACUUGUAAGAGAUCUUUAUAUAUUCUGGGUACAAGUCCCCUGUCAGAUAUAUGUAUUGAGACUAUUUUUUUACCUGCUGGUGAAUUGCUUUUUCAUUUUCUUAAGGAUGUCUACAAAGACCAGAAGUUUUAAAUUCUGAUGAAGUUCAAUUUAUCCAUUUUUCUCAUAUUGGUAGGGCUUUUCUGCAUCCUUCUGAGAAAUCUUAGAUUAUCCCAAUGUCAAAAAAUAUAUUCUCUUCAUUCUAGGAGCUUUAUGGCUUUAGCAUUUAUUUUGAAGUCUAUGAUCCAUCUCAAAUUAAUUUUUGUGUUUGUGAAGCAGAAGUUCAUUUUUUCCUAUCUGGAUAUCCACUUGUUUCAGUGCCAUUUGUUGAAAACCUUCCUGUCCCCUUUGAAUUUCCUGCCAUCUCUGUCAAAAAUCAGUUGGCUAUGUAUAUUGUAUAGAUCUAUUUCUAGACACUAUUCUGUUCCACUGAUCUAUCCUUUUGCCAGUACCUCACUGUCUUGGUCUUGAGUACUGUAGCUUAAAGUUUUCAAAUCAGGUAGUUUGAAUCCUCUUAAUUUUUCUUUUCUUUUCUUUUCUUUUUUUGCCUUUGAAAUCUUUUAUUGUCACUUUGGUUAAGAAAUAAGUAUUGUCUCACAGUGACCUAUGAUCUUAUUUGACCAAGUGUUUUAAAACUUGUUGACAAACUUCCUGAAUAUCAAAAUUUAACUAAAGUUCUUUUGAUUUCCAGCUAACUUUGGGAUACUUUAGAGAGCCCCUGAGGUAUCUCAAAGAGAAAUACUGAACUAGGAUUAUUUCGUAUGUUAAAUGUGAUCAGAUGUUUAACCAUGCCUUUUAAGUCUUUUGUCAUUUAUAGAUAUUUUUGUACUCUGAUGCUGUUACAAAAAGUGCUUUAUCAUCAAGGAGAUUUACAGAAAGGCUAUGGAAGCCUUUACAACAGUUCCACAUCAAGAUGAUGGCUACGCGAAGAUUCCAGCACAUACUGACUUAAAACAAGGAGCGUCCUGCCCCUGGGCCCCUGGAUCAGGCAUCCAGAGAUCUUUACUCCCUGACAGGCAGGGUCAAUGUCCCACUCAGCCUUGAAGCAGUUACAGAAGGUGGACUACUGCCCCUCUGCUUCCCAUAAGAAUAUGGGAGUCUGAUUUUUUUUUUCUUUUGUUUUUCAAAAUUGUUCUGGCUACUGUAGGUCCUCUGCAUUUUCAUAUAAGUUUUAGAAUCAGCCUGUCGAUUUCUGUUUUGAAAACCGUGGUGGAGUUUUAACUAGGGUUACAUUGAAUCAGGCAUCUCAACAAUUCGUGAAUAUGGUUUCUCUCUUUACAUGCUUAAGUUUUCUUUAGUUCCUCUCAGCAAUGUUUUGUAGUUUUCCGAGUAGAGGUCUUACACACCUUUUGUUAAAUUUAUUCCCAAGUAUUUUAUGUGCGACAGUGGAUUUGUCUAUUUCUCUUUUUACUUCUGGCAGCUUUUGCUUUGCAUAUUUCAGAACUCUGUUAUUAGGCAUAUAUCCAUUUGUAAUUGGCAUUUCUCCUGAUGAACUAUUUCAUCACUAUAAAAUGUAUCUCUUUUUGUCUGGUCAUACUUCUUAUCUUGAAACCUAAUCCAUCUGCUGCUAGUAGAGCCAUACCAGCUUUCUUGUGCUUAUUAUUUACAUAACAUAUCUCUUUCCUUCCUUUUAAUAUAUCUGCAUCUUUAUAAUUAGAAUGGGUCUCUGGAAAACAACAGAUAGUGGGUCUUGGUUUUCAUCCAGUCUGACAUAUUUUCUUUUUUACUAGUAUAGUUGAUUUUCACUUAGUUUUUAUAAUUCAUGGACUUGUAGGUAUAUUUGGGUUUAUUUUUUGAUAUUAGUUUCUUUUGCCCCAUCUGUUUUUUUUGUUCCUCUGGCAGCCCACAGCUCUGUCUUUUGACACCUCAACUCGGUCAGACUGUGCCUUGAGUGCUGGCCACCCUCUGACCCCCCCGCCCCCAAACCCCCCUCCCACCCCUCACAUGGCAGCCCUCAGGGAAAAGUUAGAAGAUUACCCAGUGUGGUUUCCUUUUUCAAGGGCUGAAUCCCCUCCAGUUUUUAUCUGCUUUUUGGGUUGCUCUCCAGGACUUUCAGAUAGUUUUAAAAAAUACUUUCCCCAGAGUUCAUAAUUUUUAUCUGUGGGAGAUUUAGUCUAGUACAUUAUUAAACUCUGCCACUACUGGAACCAGAACUUGAAGGGAUGUGCUGUACUGGAGUCAUCACGCAAACUCAGAAAAGAAGCUUGUCAUGACAGCCUUAAGUUUUUGCCUACUAGUCCUAUUGGGCACAUGGAUGGGGCUGCACUGUGCUCGCCAAAUAAAACAAGGGGGAGAGGAAAGGAUAAAAAGAGAAUGAGAAGCACUGAAGGUAAACAUUUCUGACAAUGGGAAAGAAUGUGGAUUAAUGGGAUUUCUCAUAAACUGCUGGGGGGAGGGACUUCCCUGGCAGUCCAGUGGUGAAGACUUCGCCUUCCAAUGCAGGGGAUGUGGGUUCAAUCCCUGGUCCCUGAGCUAAGAUCCCACAUGCCUCCAAGCCAAAAACCAAAACGUAAAACAGAAGCAAUAUUGUAACAAAUUCAGUAAAAGACUUUAAAAGUGGCCCACAUCAAAAAACAAACAAAAACCCACUGCGGGGGGAACACCACCCCUGACAACAAAACUGCUGGGGGGAAUGUAAAUUGGCACAACCAGGUAUGGAAACGAUUUAGCAGUAUCUGCCAAAGCACACCUAAUAACCAGCACGUCCAGUCCCAAGUAUAUGCCCCAGAAUGUUCGGAGCAGCGCUGUUUAUGAAAGACAACAAAAUCUGGAAAUAAUCUAAAUGCCCACCACCAGGAAGGUGGCUACACUGUGGUACACGUUCCCAACAGAGCACUAACCACCACUCCCUACCACGACCACGCACAGCAUAGAGCAAUCCUGGCAACACGCUGCCGGAAAGAACAAGGCUCAAAAGACUGCAUCUGGUGUGCUUCUCUUAUCUGUUACUUGUUUUAUAAAGUGCAAAACCAAUCACAAGUAAAGAAAACACAGUUUAGCAAUCAUACAUACGUGAUCAAGCUAUUUUCAGAAAAAGCAAAGGAAUGAAAAACAAAAUCAAAACAGCAGUUACCUGUGGGGAGAAAGUCAGGGUGAUAGGCUAGGGAAGGAGCACGUGGAUACCUAAAAGUCACUGCUAGUGGGCCAGGUCUUGUUGGGUGUCAGGCUGGUAGAUAUUCAUUUAUUAAGAAUGAAUAUGUGGAUGAAUGAAUAAAACACAGAAAGAAAAGAGGGUCAUGCAUCAGGGACUAUGAUGAAUCCACAGAGGGGCACUCAGGAAGGCAGGGGACUGAUGACGAGAAUGGCAGCGACUAGAAAGGCAGGCAAUCAGGAACAGCCCCAGGAAAAGAAAUGACAGAACACGUGUGGAUGAAGGCAUUUGCAAAGUUAAGAGGUUAUUGCUCUCGGAUCCUGAGCCUAAGGUGAGGGCAGUGAAGUCCGGUUUCUUUUUGGACCCCUGCCCUGCCUUCCACCGGAACCCAGUCUGUGGCCCUCACACCGCUAGACACAUGUAGCCUGGGAAGGGUACUAUUUUAAAUUAAAAGUGACUGUAAGUCCAGUUCAACCAGUCUAAAUCUAAAGCGCUAAGGCCAACCCUGCGAUGCAGGGGAAAAACUGGUAAGAAAAACAGACUCAAGCUAAUGGCACAGAGCAAUACUUCUUUCAUUACUGCCCUCCACCCUACCCGAGAUCUGUUCCAGGAGUCAAAGGCACAGGUUUUCUAGAGGUCAGUUCCUAAUUGGAAAUGCAAAGAAUGUUCAGGGCGGGUAAAAGAUACUUAUAGUUAUGCCUCAAAGUAAGCGUGAGGGCCAGCCAGUGCCUCUCAGCAGAGCUCUCCUCCCAGGUUCCAGGCUGGGUUCACUGAUAAUGCUGUUUGCUACAGUCUAGCUAACUUCCCUAGGGAAAGAGAAGAUGAGGGAAAAUCAUAAACACUUAUCACUGCCUUAAAAAACAGAAACAUCUGCUAAAACCUGAGGGGUUUCUUGGCGUGGGGGUGUAUGGGAUUUCAGUACAGCCAGGCAUCACAGCACGGCUCUCCUAGGUCAAACUGCAGAAAGCACCCCAAGGGGCCAUGACCUAUCCCACAGGAAAGGGCAGUGGACUCGGGCACCUGAACAGGCAAAGCACCACACAGACUGAAGUCUGCAGCCAUCAGACGUACAGGCCAGUUGGAAUGCCCGAAGGCGAAAGCUCUCUGGUAGAGAAGGUUCCUGUUUCCCAGGUCACCCUAACUGAUCAGCUGCCUCUGCUGACGGCCCCCCAGUGCAAGUCUUCCUGCCGGUCCCCAGGCCCGGCUUCUUGCUGACUGACUGAAUCCAACUCACGCCUCUUGGUCACGGCCAUUCCUGGCUCCUCCUCUACAAUGAUUCAAAUCUUUCCUUGCCACUCUCACUGUCUCCUUUGUCUCUGGGAACCCAGUUCACAUUUAGGUCUCCGAUAUGAAUGGAAACUAAUAAUGAAGAAUGCUAUGUAUUGCUUUGUAAUAAGUGGCAUUUCCUUCUUAGCACAUGCCAUAUAGACUCCAGAAUACCUGUCUCUGGCCUGGGAGGGGCAGAGUCCUGCUGGACAAACAGCACACAACACAGGGCCCGAAAGUUCACCCUCUGGGGCGGCACAUACUGGCAUGGCAGAGUUCUCUGCACAGCAGUAGAGAAAUGCUUCUGGGUACCACGACGCUGGACAGAUAGGAACCAUCUUGAUUUACUUUCCAUGAAAAUGGUUUUAUCUUUGCUGGGGUAUUCAUUUGGAAGCUUUCUUUUUGAACAAAACAGUCUAUCAAAAUCACUGAAAAUAAAGUGCUCCUUUCUGGUGAUUAAUCAAAUACUUCUUAACAGCUUCUUUUUCUUUGGGGGAAUGAAUAAUAUCUGCAAUAUAACGAACCUGCUUGUCUUCUUCUUCCAGAGCUUCUACAAAGCAUCGUGUAAACACUUGAAUAGUGGCCAGUACUUCUGGGGCUCCAUCGGUUUCCAGGAGUGCGUACCUAAGCAAUGCAAACCCAGAUCACAACACAUUCAGUGAUUAAUCUGGCAAACACGUGAACCUGAACAUGUAAAAGGGAAAAAUGGAAACAUUCUUUUUGUGCCAUAAGCUUCAACAGUAUCUCAGCUCAUCAGAUUUCAGGCCUUGCGUGAAAGCAAGAGAAAUCUGUCACUCCCUUUUCUAAAGAUUUUCUUUAAAAUUGCAAUGUGCAGAGCUCCCUUUCUUGGUUUUUAAAUUAUUAAGCACUUCGUAUCCCUUCCACAUGGGCCUGGAAUGCUCUUUACAAAUAUUUGCACACUGCAUGCCCAGAAAUGCAACGUUCAUAGAACUUUUGCUUUUGCAAGUAGAGAAAGAGAUGCCCCAGGGGUUAAAAUGGCUCAGUCAAAUCCACCCAGCAAAGUGGUGGAAGAACCUGCAUAUUGCUGAUUUGGUUUCUAUUUUCACACAACUAACUUUUCUUUAUGUUUGUUUAAACAACAACAACAAAAAUCAACUGAAACUUUGAUAGCUUUAAACUAAAAACAGCAUUCUGACUUACUUCUUUGCUCAUUUAGCUUAAAGCUGGUAUGUUUCAAGACCAAAGUGUUGGAUUACUUGCUAUUGUAAAAAUUCCUUUCCCCAGUGUCUUCUGUCUGCCGUGGGGGCUCUAUUUGCUGAGUACGUGGGGGAUGGGAUAAAAAGGGCAGAUACCCUGGCUGCACCAGCACCCAGAAAAGAGGCUGGAAACCCUACCCGGGUGGCAAGAUCCCUGCGAGGGGUCCGGCCCCCUGCUAACUGUCAGCUACAACCCAGCCCGGUGUCCAGCGGUCUCCUCAUCUUUCAUCAUUGUAAAUCCAAUGCAUUUACCAAGAAGUUCUGGUAUUUGCAGAAUAAAAAUCAGUGUGUUGUAAGAUAACACGCAUAGCUGAUUUUGCCUUUCAGAAGAGCUCUGUUAAGAAUGGCAUUAUUCACUUAUUACUCUUCGUUUUCCUUAGCUUUAAAAUCCUUUAAAAAGAUUGGUCAGCCCUCAUGUGGUGAAGGGAGAACACUACUACCCUUUAUUUUGAGUUGAGAAACAUUCUACACAAAUACUGAAUGAUGUAAAAUCUAUUUCAAUUCUGCUUUUCUACCAUUAUUAUUAGAAUUUUAAAAGGUCAAAAAAAGAUAGUUAUCUUAAUUUUUAGGCACUGGCUUUUAAAUAUACAUUGACAUUUGGGUUUUCCCAAAAAGCUCAGCAGGAGGGGAUGGAAUCAGAAACUAAUUCCCCCAUGGUACAGCCAGAGACUACCACAGAAUUUUUUAUUCAUAUCUGGAGGCUGAACAUAUUCAGAGCAAUUACUAGCAGAAACAGCACCAUAUCUACCUGAACAUUUCAUCAACAGCUCUGAAUAUGGCAGGGUGGCAGGCAGCUUCAGGCUGUAAAGGAAAAGACCAUGAGAAAGUAAAAUAUCAGAAGCAUUUCAUCAAUAAUGACUUGCCCUUAUCAGGCAAAUGAGUUGUCCACAUCUGCUGGUGUCUAGAAAAUGGGUAUAUUCCUUUGAGUUAGAAAAAAAGAACAACCAGUUCAAAGCAAAAGCCCUACAUACAAAUACAAACAGUAGUUCUCCUGGGGCAAGCGGAUUGUGGGCAACCUUUAUUUCUUCUUUAUACACUGUACAUCCUACAUUUUCAACAAUAAGCCCAUAUGAUGCAGAAAAAAGAGUCAAUAAGUAUCAUGGAACACUGAAAAAUACCUUCUACAGGCAUGCUGUAAUGAAGACACAGAGCCUACCUGUGUUGCUAGUUUUACAUAAUGUGCCCUGUGUGUCUGACCUCCUCACAUGACUUAAAAGUGCCUCAAAGUCAAAUCUAGGCCUGCUGUCUUUUCAUUCCUGCUUAUUAGGAAAUGAGUACAUAAUAAUUUAGAAUUAUUACUGAGGAAAGCAGUGGCCACUACCAUGCCAGACUAAAUAUUACAUCUUAGUGCACUAUGAAUUUAGCAGCUUAAAUUAUUUAGGAUGAAAAAGGAAUAAAGAUACCAUCAUCUUGAAUGAUGAAAGCAAUCUAAUUUAUUUCACAAAUAUUUUUAUGAAAGGUUUUGAUGGUUUAAAUCUGCAGAAGCCGACCUACUAUGGCCUGGGUGGGGCUUUGGUGGGCCUGAUCCAGAUUCCAUAUCUUCUUGGCCAGAGCUCAAAGCAUGAAAUUAAGCCAGAGGAAGAUGCCAUUUGGGUUCUGAAAUAGAUAUUUUACAGUAGCAUCCAAAGGUUAGUGAAUUAGGCUCUAUAGGGAAUUUCUUUGAGUCAUAUUGAACUUUAUAUGACUAGCUUUGGGAAACAUUUUUUUCAUACCCCCUCAACAAGAAAAACAGAAAAAAGAAGAUAUGCAUUUUCUCUUGUUUUCUAGCCCAAGCUGAAAAAAGGAAUGGUGCCUCUUUCAUAGUCUUCUGUACUUUGCUCUGUGCUGACAUUUUGAGUUGUAACAUUGAACGUGUGCCAUCUAGUGUUCACACACCGCCAUUACAGGCUGUUACAGAAGGCUCCAGGCAAGAGCACUGCCACUUGUUAAAAUGAUGGGAUAAUUCCUUUUAUUUGAAGAGAAAGAUUUGUGAUAAGUUACAAAUCUCUACUUUCUGAGUAAUCCAUACUCCCUAAUCCUUCACUGAUGUCCAUUUUUAUCUAAAAGAAACCAACUAAAAUUUUUCAUAGAUAAAUUCAUUAUAUACUCAAAGUAAUUUGGCAGAAUAAUGGUUCAACAGAAGAGAGGCAGAAUAUUUUUUUGGCUUUGAUCUCAGGCAAGUCAGUUAAUCUUCCUGCUUCUCAGCCUCACUGUAAAUAAUAACAGUUAUUAAAAGGUCACUGGAUAUAUGCCCAGAAAAUAUCAUGGAAGUUUCUAUGUAUUCAUAAUUGAAAAAUCAAACAAGAAGGGAAAAGCAAACUGCAUGCCUUGAAGAAAUGUGAUUCAUUAAAUUUGCCAAAAAGAUUUUUCAAAGUUUCAUAUAUAGACAAUAUGGCUCUUGAAUAAGAAUGUUUAAGACCAAUCAACAUUGUUAUGUGACACACAGAGCCUAAAAAUGCACUGAUAGAAAAUAAGACUAAAAUUGAGAAUGGUAAAAUAGAACCAUUCCCUGUGUUCUAAACCGUCUAACUACUCCAGAACCACUGUAUAAAUUUGAUGCUAGUAGGAAAUCAAUCAAUACUGAUUACAGGGAUUUCCAAAUGGCAAAGAAAAUGCCGAUCCAAUGUGUAGAACAGGGCUACCUUGAAAAGCAAGGGGGAAAGCAAGAAAGUUCUAACUCAGUUUGUUGAAAGAGGACAAGAGCUUGGACAUGCUCUUCUUUUAUGUGUUUUCUAGCAAAACAGCUCAAUCAGAUGUUUUAAAUAUCUACAGGCUGUGUGGAAUCUGUCUCUUCUCUCCAUGCCGAUGGACUCUCCUCUUAGGCUUCUCUCUGUCCAGAUAUUUCAGACCUUUGGUUGCUCUCAACCUGCUUCCACAACCUGUUUUAGCUUUCAAAACAGCUAAGAUUCCAGGAGGCAGGGGAACCCUACUGAACCUGCAGUGGCAGAGAUUUUGAUUUAAAAACCAGUCUCCCUCACCACUCCAGGGUUGUGAACAGCUCUUUAUCAUCUGCAGCCUUUACUGAUGGUUUUAAAAAUGACACUCUUCACACUUCCCAAGUGCAUAAUUUCAGGGUCAUUGAGUCCCCUCAAGAAGCCUGGAGUGCUCACAGGCCAGGCAUGUGUCCCAGUGACAUCACAUCACAAAACAAACUUAAGCUGCUUUUCUUAUCAAGGGAAUCCUCCAAAUAGAAUUAAAGCCUUAAUUUAUGCUUCUCUGGAAGCCAUAAAUUCCCCCCCUAAAUCUUUACAGCAUCCAUGUGAGGGAAGAGGCAAACAUUUAACCCCUCUCUGUCCUGUCUGAUUUUUAAAAUGGGACCCUAUAGUAACACAACAGGUCACUCUGCAACCCAGAGCUCCGGACCCUAGCUCUGAAGCCCCACAAUCUGGGCAAUUAUCUUUCCUGUUAAAAUGAGGACAGAAAAGAAAACCUUUCUUGGGUUCCAUCUGUUUGCUUUUCUCCAUCCUACCAGAAUCUGUUCCUUCUCAAGCUCUUCUCUUCUCCAUCUGGUCUAAUGAUUUCCGUGUACAGAUGAUUUCAACUCUAGGGAAACUAUGUUACCAGGAGGCCAUCAACAACAGGAGUUGUGCCCUUCGUCCCUCCCUUCUGCUCCCCCCAAUUCUUUCACUAAUGUCAGACAAUGAACAGAAGAUGAUAAUGGAGAGCUCCGGACUCUGGUUUCCUUUCCUUAUGGACCAGAUUGUUCUGGGGUGCACAUCUCUUUCCCUCUCCCACAGCUACCCAGAACAUCAUUGCUUAUUUCCUCUCUGCCCAGGACAGCCCAUUCCCAUCCCUCAAAAAGACAAGGGAAGACCAAGCAACACAGAGAAGUGCACAGCGGCCACGUUAUCUAGGCCUGCCUUGUAGGCAGAGGUGAGGGAGAAGCCAGCUGUCACUCUGUGCUGUAAGCUGUACAAAUAACAUCAAUGCUCACUCUCUGUCCUUAGUGUGUAACCUGUUAUUUUCACCCCAAUUCAUCAAUGAUUAUUACAAGCCACCUGUCACUUGAAAGAGGCCUGAGAACACAGAAGAACAGAAUUCUCAGGAAGAAAUCUUUCCUUUUUUCCUAUCAUUUUUUGAUUCCCUGUGUGUGCGAGAAGAGAAAGAGUAUGGGGAGAGCAGAGAAAGAGAUAGAAUACAGACCAGAAAGGGAAAUUACACUAUGAUUUGAGGUAAUUCACAGAGAAAAGUGAACGCCUCUUAUAAAAAACAAAAAGGCAGUGAAGACACAGGAAAAAAAAUUCUCAAGCCUUCUUCAUUUAUCCCCCUUCACAGAUAUUCUUCCUAAAAAAAAUAGAGAAGUUUCAGGUGAGAAAUAAACUGAAGUUCCGUAAGCUUGGGAUAGAUUCUCUUUCAUAAUCUAUGUUUAUGUAGUUUUAUGUAGUUUACUCCGGAAUGGAGGUUUUUUUUUUUUAAAUCCAUGGCUGAUGAGACGCUUUCUUUCCACUUUACCCAACAGCUGGCAAUCACGUCCCACUGUGUAGCUGACUCUUCGAAACCCUUGACAAGCAGGAGCUCUUGUGUCAAUAUAUUGGCUAUGAUUGCUAUCUGGAGAAUGAAAACAAGAAUGCAUCUUAUCUCAUAUGAGAGAGGUCAAGGAGGACACUGAGCUAUCUUACAGGUGAAAGCAGCAUGGACGCUGGCGACUGCGACACCAUGCGUGGUCACCUGGGAGGCCCCGGAACGGGAAGGCAAAGAGGAGACUGGGAAACAGGGAGAAGGCCAGCACGGCCAUGGUGGCACACGUGAGCGGGCAGGCAGUGAUCAGUACCCAGAAAGAGAACUGGGAUCCUGGACUAGGAUUCUCUUACACAGCCACCAAUAUGAAAGAGAAAGAAAGAAAACAGCAAGUUCUAACCGAAUUAAACAAAUAGAAGGUGCUGGAGGUGGGGCUUGUGUAAACUCAGCCGACCUCAGUGGACUCUAUGCAGGGAUUCACCCCGCCCCCAACACAAGUCUGCUCAGCAGGGAGGUGAACACUCUCUCCCGCCCAGUUUCCUGGCCACCAACUUAAGAUCUGACGGUUCACGAUCUCUCUCUCAACUAAUUUUCUCCAUCUGUACAAUAGGAAGCAAAUCUCUGCCCCAUAUCUCCCCUAGGUUACAAAAGCUAAUGAGAAAACAUGUUAGAGCCCACUGAGGUUCUGGUAAGAUAGAGGCCCCAGAAACAUGACACCUCCUGUAGUUUUUAAUUGUUUUUCUCAGAAAGCAUUGGUCUUUAUUCCUGCUCUUACAAAAAUGCACAUAAAUUCCAGAGCUGCCUCCCACAGAGGGGAAACAUCCCUAUUGGUCGGGUUCUGAGGAUGGCCUGAGAACCAGGGCCCCUGACACUGGAUUAGGCAAUGGGGGCCAGUUUGGCCCAGGGAGCCCCCAACUUCCCAGGCCUGAGAAGUUCUGCGUAGAGGGGAGACUGGGCAGCCCCUGCGUGGAGGGAGGGUUCAAGAUUUGCAGGCUGAUACCAAAAGAAAACUGACAAAACUCUUAGUUUUUUUUUUUGUUUUAACCAUUUUUCUGGGGUUUUGUUUUGUAUCUUUUAAGUAUUUUAUUUUUUUCUAGUGAAGGGUUAAAAGUUUAUUUUUUGAAUGCUUUUCUUUGUUAGCUGAUUCCUCCUAUUGUUUAUAAGAUCUUCACUUUUUAAAACUUAACUUUUCAUGUGGAAAUGAGAAAUACUGUUUUAAAAAAUUUGUUGUCCAAAUGUCAAGUCAAUUCUUGUGAAUAUGCAACAUAAGGUGCAGUGGUCAAGUAUAUCUCAAAUCUUGCCUUUUUUUUUUUUUUUUUUUGCCCAUGCCACUCAGCUUACAAGCUCGCAGGAUCUUAGCUCCCCGACCAGGUAUUGAACCCAGGCCACAGCAGUGAAAAUGCCAAGUCCUAACCACUGGACCACCAAGGAAUUCCCUUGCCCUAUUUUUAAUACAUGCUCCAAGUAUGCAGAAAAGCCCCCUACAUUGUAAGGCAUUUCAAAAAUAAAAUGUAGAUAGAUGAUUCUUUUAAAUGGUGCCAAUUGCUCUUUUGUUUACUUUUUUUUCCCCUUGUGCUGACUAGAAUAAAUGAUACUAGCAUCAUCUUUAAGGAUUUUUUUCCCUCAUCAAAACCCAGCACAUACCAGAGAUGAAUCUUUCAUAAAGCA